AAUCAGCACUCGCGAUAAACAAUAUGUCUGCGGCCGAAAGGACACGCCCACCACUUGUUGGCACGAACUGUCUUUAGCGCCUUCUUAUCCAUAGUCCAAGUGACCGAUAGUGACUCACCUUACGCAUUUACACUUCACUGAACCAGACUUCUCAAGAAUAUGGGACUUCAGCACUCCAAGAAAGAAGAAAAGAAAUCAAAGAAGAAGGCAAAGAAGAAAGUUUCUAGUUAUGCUAAGAGUUCGUCAUUCGGCGGUGGCUUUGACAUCGGCGGAAGUCAUGAUGACAGUGUGAAUGAUGUCCAAAGUCAUGGUGGACAUUCAAGUGGAGGACACUGUCACUUUGGAGACUGGAGUGGAGGAGACUGUUACAGCGGAGGAGGGUUUGACAGCGGAGGGGGGUGUGACAGUGGAGGAGGGUGUUGUGACAGCGGAGGAGGUUGUGACUGAAAAUUUAACAAGACAAAACUUUGUAUCAGGCUUAAUAUCUGUUUUCUUGUUUUUAAUGUUUGGCCAUAAAAUCUAAAUGUGUAUGUGUAAAUCAGUUUAUAUGUAAAAGUUGAUCUACAAAAACAAUGAAUUUUGUUCUCAAAAGUUUAUACUUUUUCCAUUCAUAAACACACACCUGACAAAUGCUAUAUAGACUAAACAUAUUUCUCAAACAUUUUUCUGUUUUUAAAUGAAGCAAUCAUAAUAAAGUCUUUUUUGUUAUUUUUUUCACAAAAAUUGAAAAUAAAGAAUUGUAAUCUGUGUUACUCAUA
Molecule: long non-coding RNA, 758 nt
Organism: Erpetoichthys calabaricus (reedfish)
Lineage: Eukaryota; Metazoa; Chordata; Cladistia; Polypteriformes; Polypteridae
Exons: 3
Source: RefSeq, a predicted model, not a curated record